UACAGAGGGGGCAAGCGUUAUUCGGAAUUACUGGGCGUAAAGCGCACGUAGGCGGCUUUGUAAGUUAGAGGUGAAAGCCCGGAGCUCAACUCCGGAAUUGCCUUUAAGACUGCAUCGCUUGAAUCCAGGAGAGGUGAGUGGAAUUCCGAGUGUAGAGGUGAAAUUCGUAGAUAUUCGGAAGAACACCAGUGGCGAAGGCGGCUCACUGGACUGGUAUUGACGCUGAGGUGCGAAAGCGUGGGGAGCAAACAGG
Molecule: ribosomal RNA, 253 nt
Filed under: uncultured bacterium
Lineage: Bacteria
Description: partial 16S ribosomal RNA
Rfam family: Bacterial small subunit ribosomal RNA
Source: RNAcentral